RNAcentral lists this ribosomal RNA (484 nucleotides) under uncultured bacterium. RNAcentral describes it as "partial 16S ribosomal RNA". It matches the Rfam family "Bacterial small subunit ribosomal RNA", at positions 29 to 507 of the family's 1533-position model. The record is from RNAcentral.
AUUGAACGCUGGCGGCAUGCUUUACACAUGCAAGUCGAACGGCAGCGCGGGCUUCGGCCUGGCGGCGAGUGGCGAACGGGUGAGUAAUACAUCGGAACGUGCCCAGUAGUGGGGGAUAGCUCGGCGAAAGCCGGAUUAAUACCGCAUACGACCUGAGGGUGAAAGCGGGGGAUCUUCGGACCUCGCGCUAUUGGAGGGGCCGAUGGCAGAUUAGCUAGUUGGCGGGGUAAAGGCCUACCAAGGCGACGAUCUGUAGCUGGUCUGAGAGGACGACCAGCCACACUGGGACUGAGACACGGCCCAGACUCCUACGGGAGGCAGCAGUGGGGAAUUUUGGACAAUGGGCGAAAGCCUGAUCCAGCAAUGCCGCGUGUGUGAUGAAGGCCUUCGGGUUGUAAAGCACUUUUGGCGGGAACGAAAAGGACUGUGCCAAUACCACGGUUCGAUGACGGUACCCGCAGAAUAAGCACCGGCUAACUACGUG